Molecule: unclassified non-coding RNA, 329 nt
Filed under: soil metagenome
Description: partial contains 5.8S ribosomal RNA, internal transcribed spacer 2, and large subunit ribosomal RNA
Rfam family: 5.8S ribosomal RNA (bases 1-120)
Source: RNAcentral
GAUGAAGAACGUAGCGAAAUGCGAUAAGUAAUGUGAAUUGCAGAAUUCAGUGAAUCAUCGAAUCUUUGAACGCACAUUGCGCCCUCUGGUAUUCCGGGGGGCAUGCCUGUUCGAGCGUCAUUACAACCCUCAAGCUUUGCUUGGUAUUGGACAUUGCCAGUUUCUGGCAGGUCUUAAAAUCAGUGGCGGUGCCAUUUGGCUUCAAGCGUAGUAAUUCUUCUCGCUUUGGAGAUCCAGGUGGUUACUUGCCAAUAACCCCCAAUUUUUUCAGGUUGACCUCGGAUCAGGUAGGGAUACCCGCUGAACUUAAGCAUAUCAAUAAGCGGAGG